UGGUGGUACAAACACUGCCAGUACAGGUCAUUCUGCGCCAGAGGUGAGCGCUCAUCGGCACACUAGAUUAUCGCCAACCUAAGAGGUGAGCGCUCAUCGGCACACUAGAUUAACGCCAACCUUGGAGGACAAGACAACUGUGUUCCUCCUGCCAACUAGUGAAAACUGCUGCCAGUCACAGGAAAGCCAGGAGAGUUACCUGGACGUCACAUAGCCUUCAUCUCAACACUACGCAGACUCACCCUGUGUGCAUUCUUGAAACUAGCUCCCUUUCCCGCCACCUUUAAACUGGUUUUUGGCAGUGCUGGGGACCAAAGCUGGAGCAUCCUGAAUGCUAGGAACAUUCCGGGCCACUGGAUUAUACCUAAUCCCUAAAAUGUUUUGUUUUUUAAAAAUAAGAGUCCUUCAAGAAUAUACAUGAACUGUUAACUAGUUAAAAAACAACUAUUUAAUAUAGAAUGAUAGUGAUGCUUUCCUUUGGGAUAUUUUGCUUUUUUUUUUUUCUUAAAGAUCCUACA
Peromyscus maniculatus bairdii (prairie deer mouse) is the source of this 518-nucleotide non-coding RNA. NCBI's taxonomy places the organism in Eukaryota, Metazoa, Chordata, Mammalia, Rodentia, Cricetidae. The record is from RefSeq and is a predicted model, not a curated record.